UGGGGAAUUUUGGACAAUGGGCGAAGCCUGAUCCAGCAAUGCCGCGUGUGUGAAGAAGGCCUUCGGGUUGUAAAGCACUUUUGUCCGGAAAGAAAUCCUUGGCUCUAAUACAGUCGGGGGAUGACGGUACCAGAAGAAUAAGCACCGGCUAACUACGUGCCAGGCAGCCGCGGUAAUACGUAGGGUGCAAGCGUUAAUCGGAAUUACUGGGCGUAAAGCGUGCGCAGGGCGGUUUUGCUAAGACCGAAUGUGAAAUCCCCGGGCUCAACCUGGGAACUGCAUUGGUGACUGGCAGGCUAGAGUAUGGCAGAGGGGGGUAGAAUUCCACGUGUAGCAGUGAAAUGCGUAGAGUGUGGAGGAAUACCGAUGCGAAGGCAGCCCCCUGGGCCAAUACUGACGNUCGUGCACGAAAGCGUGGGGAGCAAACAGGAUUAGAUA
Molecule: ribosomal RNA, 438 nt
Filed under: uncultured bacterium
Lineage: Bacteria
Description: partial 16S ribosomal RNA
Rfam family: Bacterial small subunit ribosomal RNA
Source: RNAcentral